UGAAGUAUAAAGCUUAAGGAUCACUCUUAAGACGCCUACAAAAUCUUGUAUAUUUUUAAGUGUGCCAAUUUGUAACAUAUUUUGUAAGUGUAUAUUUUUCUUAGAAAAGUGCUGUGAAGUGUCUGUAUGUGAGAGUUUUCCUUUUUCUGCACCACUAUGUGCUAAUAAAAGGAUAUUUACUUCAAAGUUUCUGGUUUUAGAAACCAUAAUACAAAGAAAAAACACUUUUGUUGGGAAUUUUGUAACAGAAAAUAUGUUGUGAAAGAGUGUAGUGAUCUUGUGAAAAGAAAAUGAACAUUUGUGAGCUUCUUGCUGUUUUAUAGAAUUUCUUGUAAAUUAUUCUUGUAACACCUCUGGUUUUGUUGUUCUUGUUGAAAAAAGUUUUAAAUAUUUGUGACUGAAUGUAUGGUGAAACUGUCAUAAUGUUACCUAGCUGAGUUUUGUUAUUGUUUAUGGAAUAAAUAAAAGAAAAGUUUAAAAUACUGCUUUAGAAUCAUAUGUAACAGAGUUAAAAAACAUUUCUAAUUGAAUUUAUAUCUUAAAUAAACAGUUCUUCUGCAGUCUAGAGCAGUGUUUCUCAAACUGUCUCUAGGGAUAGAGCAGUUUUUCUUACAAUCCAUAUCAAAAUGUUAUAAAAAAAUAAAUGAAUUUCUGAAAAAGUAAAAUGAAAAAAAAAUAGGCAAAAUAUAAGCCCAGGUAUAUUUGUAUUUAGAUCAACAUAUAAAGCUAUCAUUCAAAACACCAUAGAGAAAAAGAAAAAAAUUGCCAGAUAUCGGUAUCCUGUUGGAGAACAAAUAUACAAAUCAAUGUCAAGUUGCCAUAGAACUGAAACACACUAACACUUUGAGUAAGACCAACAUCAUUACCAUCGUUUGGGAACUUGGGAAAGCUGAAUGCCAGGCUCUGUGCCAAUUCAGUAAGAUCCCUAAGUGAUUUGUAUACAUGGAAACGUUUGAGAAGCACUGGGCUAGAAUUUUGUGUCCCAAAUUUGGACAUUAUUCUCUAGGUUGUCCCUUCAAAUAACGUUAAAACAAAUGGUAUUCUUCAUUUGCGGUCCAGAUGGCAUCUGCAGAGAAACAUUCCUCUCAACGUGUAAAAACUGUUUGUUGAAAGUAAUAAAUGUUGAUUUGCCUGGUACCCAAAAA
This 1145-nucleotide long non-coding RNA is filed under the name Rattus norvegicus (Norway rat). RNAcentral describes it as "long non-coding RNA NONRATT031080". The record is from RNAcentral. Lineage: Eukaryota; Metazoa; Chordata; Mammalia; Rodentia; Muridae.